RNAcentral lists this long non-coding RNA (812 nucleotides) under Marmota monax (woodchuck). Lineage: Eukaryota; Metazoa; Chordata; Mammalia; Rodentia; Sciuridae. The record is from RNAcentral.
UGCCAAGCAGCAAAUAAUGAAUUUGUUUCUACUAGUUACUCCUCUAGGCAAAUUAAAAUCUAAAUUGGAGUCCUGAUCAGGGACUGCUUCAGUGCCAAUCAGAUGGGUAGGGGAGAUCUGAUGUUCCUCAUCAGCAUAAUUUCUAGCUUGCUCCCCAACUUGUCUGUGCUCCUCAGGCAGGAGGAUUUUUAGACAAGAUCAUAUGGACAUCAUGGAAGGUCAAAUCAUAUGAUUGAGUCAGAUAUUGAAAUGCUUUGAUAUAUGUGGUGGGACUUGAAAUAUAGGACCCAAGCCAUCUUUCUAUCUGUGAAAGAUCUAACAUGCAGAAAGGCACAUGAACCUGGAUUACACCAUCUACCCCAGCCACCUCACAUAGAGUACACAGAGAUGCAGAUUGGGCAGCGGCAGUCUAUGAACAUGUGGCAGUAGGAGAGAACGGAGGAGGGUUCGAGGGAACAGUUGCUAUGGAGGCUCCACAAGAAAGAGAAUUGUGGUGUGGCAGGGGCUCAUCUGCUGGGUCAAAGGAGAAGAAGACCUGGGUAGAAUCUUCUGUCCCUUUGGAAGCAGUCAUAGGGGAGGUGAGAGCUAAGAGGACUUGUGCAGGAGAGCAAGAGUUGCAGAGAGAGGGCUUAGAAUGAAUAGAGGAGAAGGCCUGAACAUAUGACAUCUCUUUCCAUAUUCCUGGAUGCUCACAAUAGUUGAAAAUAUCCCUGAUAAUAUUGGGAUGAAGAGUGCCAUUAAGCAGCCAUUUAGAGUCAUUAUCCAAAGGAUAUUGAGGCCAGAUCUGAUUGCACAAGCAGAUAAGGUUUGGG